UACAGAGGUCCCGAGCGUUGUUCGGAUUCACUGGGCGUAAAGGGUGCGUAGGUGGUCGGGUAAGUCUGAUGUGAAAUCUCCGAGCUCAACUCGGAAAUGGCAUUGGAUACUAUUCGGCUCGAGGGUCGGAGGGGAGACUGGAAUUCUCGGUGUAGCAGUGAAAUGCGUAGAUAUCGAGAGGAACACCGGUGGCGAAGGCGAGUCUCUGGACGACUCCUGACACUGAGGCACGAAAGCUAGGGGAGCAAACAGG
RNAcentral lists this ribosomal RNA (253 nucleotides) under uncultured prokaryote. RNAcentral describes it as "partial 16S ribosomal RNA". It matches the Rfam family "Bacterial small subunit ribosomal RNA", at positions 524 to 776 of the family's 1533-position model. The record is from RNAcentral.